GUGUCAGCAGCCGCGGUAAAACGUAGGUACCGAGCGUUAUCCGGAUUUACUGGGCGUAAAGCGCGUUCAGGCGGUUUGGCAAGUCGGGCAUGAAAUCUCUCGGCUCAACCGGGAGAGGUUGUCCGAUACUGCUGGACUUGUGGGCAGUAGAGGGUGGUGGAAUUCCGGGUGUAGUGGUGAAAUGCGUAGAUAUCCGGAGGAACACCAGUGGCGAAAGCGGCCACCUGGACUGUACCUGACGCUGACACGCGAAAGCUAGGGGAGCGAACGGGAUUAGAAACCCCGGUAGUCCUAGCUAUAAACGAUGUUGACUAGGUGUCGACGGUCUAAACCCCGCCGGUGCCGGAGCAAACGCAUUAAGUCAACCGCCUGGGGACUACGGCCGCAAGGUUAAA
This 395-nucleotide ribosomal RNA is filed under the name uncultured bacterium. RNAcentral's name for it is "bacterial SSU rRNA". It matches the Rfam family "Bacterial small subunit ribosomal RNA", at positions 505 to 898 of the family's 1533-position model. The record is from RNAcentral.